Molecule: non-coding RNA, 238 nt
Filed under: Enterococcus saccharolyticus
Lineage: Bacteria; Bacillati; Bacillota; Bacilli; Lactobacillales; Enterococcaceae
Description: T-box sequence
Rfam family: T-box leader
About the family: Uncharged tRNA acts as the effector for transcription antitermination of genes in the T-box leader family. T-boxes are found upstream of many aminoacyl-tRNA synthetase genes and some amino acid biosynthetic genes usually in Gram-positive bacteria.
Source: RNAcentral
UAUUAAGCGGACAAAAGAAGAGUAACUUUUUUGAUACUUUACAGGGAGCUAACGGUUGGUGGGAGUUAGUAAGUUAGAGAAAGUGAAUGGGCUUUUGCGCUGAGGCAUUGAACUGAAGUAGGUGACUCCGGGAACUCCCGUUAUAGAGGAAAAUCGUUGAUAGACGAUUGAUAACGAGGAUUUGAAUAGAAUUAUUCAAAUUAAAUUGAGGUGGCACCGUGAAUUAUUCGCCCUCAGA